RNAcentral lists this unclassified non-coding RNA (382 nucleotides) under uncultured bacterium. RNAcentral describes it as "contains 16S-23S intergenic spacer region". The record is from RNAcentral.
UCCGGUUUGUCACCGGCAGUCUCCUUAGAGUUCCCGACCGUGUCGCUGGCAACUAAGGACAAGGGUUGCGCUCGUUACGGGACUUAACCCAACAUUUCACAACACGAGCUGACGACAGCCAUGCAGCACCUGUCACUGGUCCAGCCGAACUGAAGGGGUGAGUCUCCUCUCCCCGCGACCAGGAUGUCAAAGGCUGGUAAGGUUCUGCGCGUUGCUUCGAAUUAAACCACACGCUCCGCCGCUUGUGCGGGCCCCCGUCAAUUCCUUUGAGUUUUAGCCUUGCGGCCGUAGUCCCCAGGCGGAGCACUUAUUGCGUUAGCUGCGGCACCGGGGGGGUCGAUACCCCCGACACCUAGUGCUCAUCGUUUACGGCGUGGACUUC